CUCAGAUUGAACGCUGGCGGCAUGGCUAAAACAUGCAAGUCGAACGAGAACCUCGCAAGAGGAGACAGUGGCGGAAGGGUCAGUAAUGGGAUCGAAUGUACCCCGAGGUGGAGGAUAGCGUCGGGAAACUGACGGUAAUACUCCAUGUCCUCUACGGAGAAAAGAUUUAUCGCCUUGGGAGCAGCGAUCCUCCUAUCAGGUAGUUGGCGGGGUAAAAGCCCACCAAGCCGAAGACGGGUAGCGGGUGUGAGAGCACGGCCCGCGACAUGGAGACUGAGACACUGCUCGGACUCCUACGGGAGGCUGCAGUAACGAAUAUUCCGCAAUGCGCGAAAGCGUGACGGAGCAAUGCCGCGUGCAGGAUGAAGCGGUUUUGCCGUGUAAACUGCUGUCAGGGAUAAGAAAUACUGAUCUAUCCCAGAGGAAGGGGCGACUAACUCUGUGCCAGCAGUCGCGGUAAUACAGAGGCCCCGAGCGUUAAUCGGAAUCACUGGGCUUAAAGGGUGCGUAGGCGGGUCAGUAAGCGCUUUGUGAAAUCCCACAGCUCAACUGUGGAACCGCAGGGCGAACUGCUGAUCUUGAGGAAGCUAGAGGCUGGUAGAACGAUAGGUGGAGCGGUGGAAUGCGUAGAGAUCUAUCGGAAUGCCGAAAGUGAAGACAGCCAGCUGGGGCUUUCCUGACGCUAAAGCACGAAAGCGUGGGGAGCAAACCGGAUUAGAUACCCGGGUAGUCCACGCCCUAAACGAUGUGCACUAGACUGGAGCGGCUCUGACGUCGUUCUGGUCGUAGAGAAAUUGUUAAGUGCACCGCCUGGGUAGUACGGUCGCAAGGCUAAAACUCAAAU
This 844-nucleotide ribosomal RNA is filed under the name uncultured bacterium. Its description in RNAcentral is "bacterial SSU rRNA". It matches the Rfam family "Bacterial small subunit ribosomal RNA", at positions 23 to 906 of the family's 1533-position model. The record is from RNAcentral.